Non-coding RNA from Triticum aestivum (bread wheat), 156 nucleotides. The record is from Rfam. Lineage: Eukaryota; Viridiplantae; Streptophyta; Magnoliopsida; Poales; Poaceae.
UGUAUAUUACCUCCGCCCCGAAUUACUUGUCUUGGAUUUGUCCAGAUACGGAUGUAUCUAGACACGUUUUAGUGUUAGAUACAUCCGUAUCUUGUCUAGAUACAUCUGUAUCUUGACAAAUCUAAGACAAGUAAUUUGGGACGGAGGGAGUAUGUG